UUCAGGUCACUCUUCGUUCAUGAAAAUGUCUUUUGUCUUUGAAAGAGAUCGCAUCGAAUAAAAAAAUGAAAGUUAUUUUAAUUUAUUUCACUGUCUUUCUUAAGGUACUUUUUAAGUAUUUUUUUAUGUUCUGAU
Molecule: non-coding RNA, 135 nt
Organism: Bombyx mori (domestic silkworm)
Lineage: Eukaryota; Metazoa; Arthropoda; Insecta; Lepidoptera; Bombycidae
Source: RefSeq, marked provisional